GGUUAAGCGACUAAGCGUACACGGUGGAUGCCCUGGCAGUCAGAGGCGAUGAAGGACGUGCUAAUCUGCGAUAAGCGUCGGUAAGGUGAUAUGAACCGUUAUAACCGGCGAUUUCCGAAUGGGGAAAC
This 128-nucleotide ribosomal RNA is filed under the name Escherichia coli. RNAcentral describes it as "partial 23S ribosomal RNA". It matches the Rfam family "Bacterial large subunit ribosomal RNA", at positions 1 to 127 of the family's 2925-position model. The record is from RNAcentral. RNAcentral also lists the same sequence under 5 other names. Lineage: Bacteria; Pseudomonadati; Pseudomonadota; Gammaproteobacteria; Enterobacterales; Enterobacteriaceae.